CUUCAAACACCCAAUUUUUUUCCCAUGUGUCCUUGAAUCCAUCAACUCAUAUGGUCUAUAAAAAUAAAUGCUCUAGUUUUUUUUCCUUCAAAAUUUUCCCUUCCAAAGUCCCUUGCAAAAGAAAAAAAAAGAAAAAAAGUGAAAAAAAACAAAAGAGAAAAAAAAGAAAGAAAAGAGGGAUAGCUCCAUGUUCUCAAGUAUCCAAAUAUUCCAAAGAAAGGGACCUAUCGAAUAAGGAGCCCCAUUCUAGACCAUAUUCAUCAAGCACAAAGUCAACCACUUGUGUUUGUUUCCUCCAUCAGCAUGAGUCCAUUUUCUCUCUUGCCCCUAAACAUUCCCCA
RNAcentral lists this long non-coding RNA (341 nucleotides) under Setaria viridis. Its description in RNAcentral is "long non-coding RNA (SVIR_LNC010961)". Lineage: Eukaryota; Viridiplantae; Streptophyta; Magnoliopsida; Poales; Poaceae. The record is from RNAcentral.